CGGCGGGGACGACCCCGCCCAAGUGCCGUCUGAUCAAUCGGGACGACCCGG
RNAcentral lists this non-coding RNA (51 nucleotides) under Aureimonas sp. Leaf460. RNAcentral describes it as "Guanidine-II riboswitch aptamer (mini-ykkC)". It matches the Rfam family "Guanidine-II riboswitch aptamer (mini-ykkC)". Rfam says of the family: Simpler in structure and has fewer highly conserved nucleotide positions than the ykkC-yxkD leader. Despite this each of its two stem-loop structures directly bind free guanidine. The record is from Rfam by way of RNAcentral. RNAcentral also lists the same sequence under 1 other name. Lineage: Bacteria; Pseudomonadati; Pseudomonadota; Alphaproteobacteria; Hyphomicrobiales; Aurantimonadaceae.